UUAUCGGUUUGUUUGAUGUUACAGCCAAGGGUCUGUAGCUCAGGUGGUUAGAGCACCGUCUUGAUAAGGCGGGGGUCGUAGGUUCAAGUCCUACCAGACCCACCAAGUUACGGGCGGCGGAGAGCGAUCUUGCCGUGAACUGGGGGAUUAGCUCAGCUGGGAGAGCACCUGCUUUGCAAGCAGGGGGUCGUCGGUUCGAUCCCGUCAUCCUCCACCAACACCUUGUGGUAGCCAAACGCAAGCAUCGAGAGAUCGGUGUUUGCGUUUGGCAUUGCCAAGACGAGUAGUAACUCGGCUGUUCUUUAACAAUAUGGAAUGUAGUAAAGGUGUCGCGGCGCGUUGAUGAGGCGCGCAAUUUAAACGCGACACUGGGUUGUGAUUGUAUCAACCAGUAUUACAAGUGAUCGAAAGACCGCUUGGAAUACGGCACAACGCGAGAACUCAGCCUAUAGCGAGACAUACUCGUUAUAGGGUCAAGCGAAUAAGUGCAUGUGGUGGAUGCCUUGGCGAUCACAGGCGAUGAAGGACGUAGUAGCUUGCGAAAAGCUGCGGGGAGCUGGCAAACGAGCUUUGAUCCGCAGAUGUCCGAAUGGGGAAACCCGGCCCGUAUGGGUCAUCCCUUGCUGAAUACAUAGGCAAGGGAGGCGAACGCAGUGAACUGAAACAUCUAAGUAGCUGCAGGAAAAGAAAUCAACCGAGAUUCCCAGAGUAGUGGCGAGCGAAAUGGGAACAGCCUUGUACUCUUUAGCAGUAUUGUUAGCGGAACGGAAUGGAAAGUCCGGCCAUAGUGGGUGAUAGCCCCGUACGCGAAAACAGUAUUGUGGAACUAGGUGUACGACAAGUAGGGCGGGACACGUGAAAUCCUGUCUGAAGAUGGGGGGACCAUCCUCCAAGGCUAAAUACUCGUGAUCGACCGAUAGUGAACCAGUACCGUGAGGGAAAGGCGAAAAGAACCCCGGGAGGGGAGUGAAAUAGAUCCUGAAACCGCAUGCAUACAAACAGUCGGAGCCUGGAAACGGGUGACGGCGUACCUUUUGUAUAAUGGGUCAGCGACUUACAUUCAGUGGCAAGCUUAACCGAUUAGGGAAGGCGUAGCGAAAGCGAGUCCGAAUAGGGCGUUCAGUCGCUGGGUGUAGACCCGAAACCAAGUGAUCUAUCCAUGGCCAGGUUGAAGGUGCGGUAACACGUACUGGAGGACCGAACCCACUAACGUUGAAAAGUUAGGGGAUGAGCUGUGGAUAGGGGUGAAAGGCUAAACAAACUUGGAAAUAGCUGGUUCUCUCCGAAAACUAUUUAGGUAGUGCCUCGUGUCUCACCUUCGGGGGUAGAGCACUGUCAUGGUUGGGGGGUCUAUUGCUGAUUACCCCGCCAUAGCAAACUCCGAAUACCGAAGAGUGCAAUCACGGGAGACAGACAUCGGGUGCUAACGUCCGGUGUCAAGAGGGAAACAACCCAGACCGCCAGCUAAGGUCCCUAAGAUUGGCUAA
RNAcentral lists this small RNA (1487 nucleotides) under Ralstonia solanacearum. Its description in RNAcentral is "bacterial LSU rRNA". The stretch from base 472 to 1487 matches the Rfam family "Bacterial large subunit ribosomal RNA", at positions 1 to 1062 of the family's 2925-position model. Lineage: Bacteria; Pseudomonadati; Pseudomonadota; Betaproteobacteria; Burkholderiales; Burkholderiaceae. The record is from RNAcentral.